GUAGAGCUUUCUCUCACUAGGGCAUUUCUUGAACGGGGGAACAUCAUAUGAGUCUUCCAAAGUGGGGGUGGGGGUGGAACAGGGGUGGGGCUGGUUGGACACUUUGCAAGUAAUAGAUCCACUCCAACACUCCCACCUCCCCAAGCUUUUGGACUACUUGCUCUUCCAAGGGCAGUUGUGGCAUUUCAACCUCAUUUACUGGAUCAGUGAACCAGCUGAGGGAACUGUUCUGCAAAGGUUCUCAAGCUUGGUGCUUAUUAGAACCAUCUGGGGCCAUUAAAAAAUUCCUGAUGCCCAGGCUACACCUCAGAAAAAUUAAAAUCAGAAUCUCUGAAGGUAGAUCCCAGCAUCAUUGGUAUUUUUUAAAGGUUAUUCCAAUGUGCUGCCAAGGCUAAGACCACUGUGUUAGGCUUAGGAGAGUGUACCCAUAUCAAUACAUUCAAUCCCAUCCAAUCUUCUAUUUUGUGUUCCUUGAUCCAAUCUAUUUCUACCUGUGUUUCCCAGGAUCCUGCUUGUUAUGGACUGAAUUGUGUCAACUCAAAAUUCAUACAUUGAGGGAAGAGAAAAAUGCAGAAACACACAGAAGAAAGACCUUGUGAAGACACAGGGAGAAGAUGGCCAUCUACAAGCCAAGAAGAAAGGCAUCAGAAUGUAACCAACUCUCUGGACACCUUGAUCUUGGACUACUAGCCUCCAGAACUGUGAGAAAAUGUACUUCUGUGGUUUAAGCCACCCAGUCUGUGGUAUUUGUCAUGGCAGCCUUAGCAAACUAAUAUGCUGUUUAUAAAAAUGUGCAAGAUCUUGCAGCUCCCUUACUGUGUCAGCUGAGUCUCCUGCAGAAGCAAACUUUGCAAUUCCUCUAAACCACACUGGCAUUUAACUCUCCUUAUGAUCUUGUAGGCAGUGCGUGUGUGUGUGCAUGUAGGGGUGUUUGGGGGACGUGAGGAGGGCUCAACGAGAACUGGUAUCACCUCAGGCAGCAUCUGGCCCAGGUGAACCCCCUGAAAGAUCUAAAAUGAGGAAGGCUUGCUUUUCUUGGCUGGAGGAGGAGCGACUUGGCAGUAGGCCUAGAACUAUGGUUCUCAGAUUGUAGUUUUGGGACCCGGAGCUAAGGCUUCAGCCAGGAAGUGUUAGAAAUGCACGCUGUUGGACCACACCCCCUGACCUACUGAAUCCGAGACUCUUA
RNAcentral lists this long non-coding RNA (1186 nucleotides) under Equus caballus (horse). RNAcentral describes it as "lncRNA (ENSECAG00000059742.1)". Lineage: Eukaryota; Metazoa; Chordata; Mammalia; Perissodactyla; Equidae. The record is from RNAcentral.